RNAcentral lists this long non-coding RNA (849 nucleotides) under Brassica napus (rape). RNAcentral's name for it is "long non-coding RNA (BNAP_LNC014570)". The record is from RNAcentral. Lineage: Eukaryota; Viridiplantae; Streptophyta; Magnoliopsida; Brassicales; Brassicaceae.
AUCUAAUUACGUGUAUAAAUUUUAUGUUAAUUAUAUAUGUUUGUAAAAUAGAAAUAUGUAUUAUACAAAAUUUACUUAUGUGUAUAAAACUACUAUAAUGUUUUUAAAGAUAAUGAAUUUAAUAUUAUAUAUUAGAUAUGAACUAUAAUAGUUCAUUUCAGGGUUUUUUAUUUUGGUUAUAGAAUAGCUCAUUUCUGGUUUUUGUUAAAAGAUGUUUGUGGAAUUAGGGGCUGAUGAUGAAAAAGGUCAUGCUUUUGAUUUUGAAUUAUUUGUAUAAAAUUCCAUUUGCUUAUUCAUAAAUCUAUAUAUAUAUAUAUAUAUAUAUAUAUAUAUAUAUAAAUGUUUCUUCUCAUAGAUGGGUCGUAGGUAAUGUUAUUAAUAUAUAUCCAUUGAACAUAUAUAUUAAUAUAUAUGUUUAUUUCUUCCCUUAAUUUUAAAAAAUCCAAACUGUUUCUAAAAAUAAUGUUAUUAAUAUAUCUUAUAUAUAUGUAAAGAAGAGUAAAAUCAGGAGUUAUUGUUUCUUAACAAAUUUGUUUGUAUCGAUUCUGUUUAUAUUUUUUCAAAUAUAUGGUUAUUGUUGGAUUAAUUACAAUUACAAAUUUAAGACCAGGGCAUUCAGUUGUAAAUAUAUAGAAAAAGUUAGAGUUAUUUUUAAUGUGUACUUCAGUUUUAAUAAAUUAGAUAUUAGAUAUGAACUAUAAUAGUUCAUUUCUGGAUUUUUUAUUUUGGUUAUAGAAUAGCUCAUUUCUGGUUUUUGUUAAAAGAUGUUUGUGGAAUUAGGGGUUGAUGUUGAAAAAGGUCAUGCUUUUGAUUUUGAAUGAUUUGUAUAAAAUUCCAUUUGCUUAUUCA